AUGAAGAAGCAAAAUGUGAUUGUGUUUGCAAGACACCGCUUUCUAAAAUGAUUGCAAGGCAAAGAAGAAUACAAUGACUACUAGUACUAUUUGGUGCCUCUGCCUUGAUUCAUACUACAGUGUCACCAGUUUUACCCAGCAUUGAUUUGCAUUAUCAGUACAAAAUGUCAAUGGUGACAAAAAUAUAUACUGUCUUAGUAUUAUUAUGAAAAUAGUUUCAGAGGAUCUCACAAUCUUCUGAAAGAGUCUUGGGACCCCCAACUCCUGCACUUUGAGAACCACUGCUCCAAAGCAUGGGUGGAAAAAUUCUACAUGAGAAAGAACAUCAGAUCAAAACUCUUACUAAUCUCUCUGCUAAAGAUGGUGGGUUUGGCUGCUGUCCUAGGAAAAGAUAAUAUAGAUGAAGUCACCAGGAAAUGGAAAGAAUUAGAUCAGGAAUUGGAUACCACCUAAAUGACCAGUCAAUAUGAGCUUUGAGGAAACCGAUAACAUCAAGCUAAAUGCUUCCUUAUAAACUCUUGAAGCAGAAAGUUGAAUAUAUACUCAACUAGCUAGAGAAGAUAAAACAGUCACUAGCAAAUUAUAUCAAAACUCUCAAACAAAAUAAAUGCAUUGUUGAUCAGAAAAUGAAAAUAUUAAAAUGAGAUUCAAAAGCUUUAGCAUGAACUUGAAGACUGAGCUUUCUUAUCAAGACAAUGAUAAGAAAACUCACAGAAAAUUAUUCUGUAGAGGGAGAGAAUGAUUUGCGAUUGAGAAGAAAAGUUCCACAGCAAAUAAAAAUGUGAGCCAUGCCCUGAAGAUCUGGAGGCCAAAAAAUAAAAACAAAAAUUAAAAGUAAGCCAAAGCUUUAGGAUAUGAAAUGAAAGGACUUACUUGCCCUUUGAAAAACCAAACCAUUGCUCUCGAUAACAGCUCUUGAAUUGCCGAUGAUAAUUUAGGCUGGACAAAAACCCUCUACAACUUAGGAGAAAAGAAUGCACACGGAAGACCAAAAGCAGCUGAAGACGUUAAACUUGAGAUUUUUAGAAAAGGGUCCUGAAGGCCUUGCUGAUCCACAUGCAGUGUUUGGCGGAGGCCCACAGGAACCACGCAAUUUGCUGGAAAAUCAGAUCCUCAAGACAGGAGGUAUGUCCAGCUGGGAUGGUUUGGGGAUUCGAGCUUCAAUACUGCCUUGCAUUGCCAGAUGCUAUCUCAUGGGAUCUAGACCCUAGCAUGAUAUAGUUCCCACCAGGCCAACGAUAUCCUGCUCUUUGUCCACAUGUACAAGACAAAGUUUAUCUUUCUGCUUCAGACACUGGUGAUCUUUCUACAUGAACAAGAUUCACAAGUUUGAAUGGGACUGCUUUUGAAGAGCAAUUGGUCCACACUUAAAAAAAAAUGGAGUCUGGUGGGAUGCAUUGUGAAGAUGCUUUUGGUUGUUUAGGUCCUCCUGAUCCAUCUCUACUACCUCAACCACAUCAUCCAGUUGAGUUUCCAUGUUAGGAAUGGAUCCAUUGGGAUACAAGGGGAGGGACCUCUUGUAUCUCCCUUUCCUCCAAGAAAUCCCUAUGAAGUCCUGAGAUUACUUUCCAUAGGGGAUUUUCCUGGUCCUUUCAGCCUGCAUUGGCACUGAGGGACAUCUGUCCAUCACGGGAGUUUCCCUGUGACUCUUGCACAAGAGCUGGAUUUUACUCCCAUUACCAAGAAAUGAAUUCCCUAGGGCUGAGCCAGCCUUCAAGAGAGCCUCCUUCUGAAGGUCUGAACCAGAACAAUAAUGUCUCUGUCAUUCUUCUAAAUGCAUUUUGAAUUCUUUUUUAGUUUAACAGCUGUUGUUUAAGUGAUUGUACAUUUGUUCACAUUGAAGCUUGAUAGAAUUAUAAUUCUUGGGGUAAUAUUUUAUAAGUGAAGUUGAUUUACAAACUAGAUUCUUUUAAAUGAAUCAUUUCCAUAUUAUUGUACUCUCUAGGUAGUAGAUUUGUAUUUUGAUUUGAUUAACCAGUUCUCCAUAACAUAAGCUAUAAGAGACAUUUUGCAUAAGUAACUAUACACAUUUAAAACUUUACAAGUCAUUUGUCUCUGUUAUGAACUGUUUUCUACUGUAAUAUUGAGGAAAUUGAGAAAGGUGUUCAAAGUUUAGUGAAAUAAAUUUUUAUUGGUUAAAAAUAGUAAAUGAGUAAAGCGGUGUCACAGAAUGCCUUUCUGCAUCAGAGCUGCAGUGGGGACAAAAGAGUAAGUACCCAUGCAUCUGAAGAGAGGGGCCAGGUUAUUCAUGUGGUCCUUGCUAAAUGGAGCUUUCAACCAGCCAGUUCCACCUCCCAUCCCAAAGCCCAUCACUCUGUUCUGUAUGCCUGUAUUCUAUGUAUAUGGGGUGAGGGAUAGAUAGAUGGGGAGAGGGAUAGGAGGGAUGGGGUAUAUAAAUCUCUUUGGGGAGAGAUGAAGGAGUGCGGUGUUCCCCUCUCCUCACUUAAGCCAGGUGAAAAAGUUCUCAAUAGAACUUCUGGGAGGUGUGCCCUGUGUUGGAGGACACAGAGGCUAGUUUCUGGUACACAUCUAGAAAUAUUAAAUGUGAGGGGCUGGUUAUACCUUCCCCAGGUCAGAGAGUUGGGAGUGCAGCAGCAGCAGGAAUAAGAAGUACUUUUAGCUGUAAUGGGACAAGUGUGGUCCUUGGAAGAUAGUUGGGGCUAUGUUGAAUUUAAAGCACUCUGCCCCAAAGUUCUGCCUGUGCCAGUGAGGUAAAUCACAAGCCAAGAGCCUAUCUUUCACUGGAACAAUGUAGAGGGAGGCCCCUAAGUGGGGAGUUCCCCAAAAAAUGGACUAAAGAGAAAGGGCUAGCAUUUAGGUAUCUGACCCUUACAGGGAGCUCUGACCCCAGAUUAAUAUCAGUGAAAUGACUUUUUAAUCUAUCUCUCUUCUCUUCUGCUGGCCCCCAUUCUCAGCAGAGAAGUGAGAAAGGAAGUAAAACAAAAAUAGGAAAAGCUGUCUUUCUGCUCCCUUCUUCUACUGCCUCCCAAUCAGGUUUCUAAGCUCAGAUCAAACCAAGCAUUUUAAAUGAAAUUAGGUUGAAAUUUUGACUUAGAUUUCAUUAAACAUUUGAAUACCCCAGAAUGAGAGUGUUAUUUAUGUUUAAUACUUUAAAUUGACUGAAAAAGCUACAAGAUCUGCUUCAAAUAUCAUCCAGCUGAGAGACAGAAAUGUUAAGAAAAAAAAAGAUAUCUCAAUAUUUUACCCCCACUUGGUUUGGAUUGGUAAAUAUAUUCAUUAUGGUAGCAAUAAAUACCUUUGUAUACAGACCUUUAUUAUUCAUUGGGGUAAUUUUCUUAUGAUAAAUGCCCAGAUGUGAAAAAAAUUGAUCAAAAUUUAUGAACAUCGUGAUGGCUUCAGAUAAGAAGUGCUAAACUGACAACCCACGUUUACCAAUAUAAACUGCCACUGGCAACACAAAGAAAUUAAUUUCAUACCAAAUCUCACUGUACCAUUGUCACCCUUAUAAUAAGAUAUCCCAAGUCAAGGUCACAACAAUACAGUAUAGAAAGUAGAACAGGGGUCAGAACUGCUAGUCUUCUCUUUGUACCGCUGGCUAUAUGAUUAUAUAUUUAGAAAAAACCUACAAAAAUUCAUAUGGAUUUUGUCUUGCAAAAACCAAAAUGCGAUUAUACAGUACAUAUUUGUAUUCACUUUGUUGUGAGUGUCUUCCCAUGUCGGUACACAAAGAACUGCUUUCUUUUGCUAAUAGAUGUCCCUUUUCUUAAAAAAUAAAAACAUUAAGUUAAAAAUUUAGGCUGGACGUGGGGGCUCAUGCCUGUAAUCCCAACACAUGGGGAGGCCCAGGUGGGCAAAUUGCUCAGAAGUUCAUGACCAGCCUCGGCAGCAUGGCAAAACCUGUCUCUACCAAAAUAUAUAAAAUAUUAGCCAGUGUGGUGGCAUGUGCUUGUAGUCCCAGCUACUUGGGAGGCUGAGGUGGGAGGAUCACUUGAGCCUGGGAGGUGGAGGCUGCAGGGAGCUGAGAUCAUGCCACUGAACUCCAGCCUAGGUGACAGAGCGAGACCCUGACACACACACACACACACACACACACACACUCUCUCUCAGGGAAAAAGUCACAUUAAAUGUGUCAUAUUAAUUAAUUGCUUGGCGUUACAAGCACUGUAGUCUUUCUUCCUUCCCCUCUUUCCCUUCUCUCUUUAUGGUUGUAUCCUGUAUUGUACACUACUUUCAGAAUAUGCGUUGUGUUGUUUAGCACCCACUCAUUUAAUAUAUAGGUGCUGCACAUACAGGCAUGAAGGAAACAAACAUGGCACCUGCUCUUUGGAGUUUCCACCCUCAUGGAUCUCUCUUUGACUUUCUGCUUUGCCUUCUAAGCUUAAUACUUAAAUUCCAAAUGCUUAUCAUAUCCUGUGUCAUUUGCUAAAAGUUGGCAAUAAUUAAGAGUGAUCUUUCUAGUAGCAACACAAAGUGGGAAAUUUGACCAGAUACAUAAGUUACAGUUGCUAAGGAAAUGAACAGUUAUUCACAGUUCUGGGGAUGGAGAGAAUUUUCCCUGUGGGUUUUCAUUAAGAAGAUACCUUGGCCAGGCACAAUGGCUCAUGCCUGUAAUCCCAGCACUUUGGGAGGCCGAGGCAGGCGGAUCACCUGAAGUCAGGAGUUUGAGACCAACCUGGCCAACAUGGUGAAACCCUAUCUCUAAUAAAAAUAAAAAAUAAAAAAUUAGCCAGGCAUAGUUGCAUGUGCCUGUAAUCCCAGCUACUCGGGAGGCUGAGAUAUGAGAAUUGCUUGAACCCAGGGGGCGAAGGUUGCAGUGAGCCUAGGUUGUGCCACUGCACUCUGGCCUGGGCAACAGAGUGAGACCCCAUCUCAAAAAAUAAGAAAAAAAAAAAAAGAUAACUUAUGAUGUAGAGCAGUAUGUUCUCAACAUUAUCUCAACAGUCAGCACAAACUGAAUUUCACAACACUGUUUUCUGGGAUGUGCUUCAAUACAGCCCAGUGACGUAAUGCCAAAUAUAAUUCAGAAAAAUGAAUUCUCCCAGGAUUACAAAGCUUAAUGACUAGGUAUACAACUUUCUGACUUAACCCAAUGAUAUAAUUUAGAGGGUCUGGAGUCCAGACCCCAGACACUAGAGAAUAUGUGGAAUACAUAUGUUUUAUGAAAUAAUUCAUCGAUAAUACCUCAUGCAACGUAAGUUUCUAUGAAUAUAAGUUAGCAAGGAGUUUGAGAAUAUACUUCACCAGUCCAGAUAUUUCAUGCCACUAGUUAUAGCAUAUUUGGACGCUUUAAUGGGUUCUAUAACAUAUCAAACCUGAUGCUAGAAACUUGAUGUAGACAGCUGACUCCAAAAUAUCCCUACCCUACAAUGCUCACCAUCUCAAAAGAAACCAAGACUUGUACACAAAUAGCUGUAAGAAAAAGUAUUAAAUGUCAAAGUUCAUAAAAGGAGUUUAGAUAAAGUGCAAUUCAUUCAUUCAACAAACAUUUGUUGAGUACCUAGGAUUUGCCAAGUACUGUGCUAAAUUUUGAUGAUACAUCAUGCCUAAUAAAAAGUGUGUUACCAACAAAAUUUUAAAAAAAUAAAAAGGCGCCAUUUCACAUGCCUGUAAUCCCAGCUAACUGGGAGGCUGAGGCAGGAGAAUCGCUUGAACCUGGGAGGCAGAGGUUGCCAUAAGCCGAGAUGGAGCCAUUGCACUCCAGCCUGGGAAACAAGAGUGAGACUCUGUCAAAAAAAAAAAAAAAAAAAAAAAAAAAAAAAAAAAAAGAAAGAAAUGAAAAAGAUUACAUUUAUAAGGGCAACAAAAAGUAUUAAAUAUCUUUACAAGCAUUUCAGAGAUAAAUUUAAAAAGACCUAAAUAAGUGGAAGGAUAUACUACAUUCAUGGAUUGGAAGACUCAAUAUUGUUAAGGUGUCAAUUCUUACCAAAUUAAUCUGUAGGUUUAAUGCAAUUACAAUCAAAAUUACCUUAGAAAUGUUUUUGUGGCAAUUGAUAAGCUGAUUAUAAAAUGUGUAUGGAAAUGCAAGAGACCUAGAAGAGCUGCAGUAGGGAGAAAUGAUCCCUCCAAAAUGGUCACAUCUUAAUUUAUGGAACCUGUGAAUAGUUAUGAUCCAUAGCAAAAGGACUUUGCAGGUGUAAUUAAGGUUAUGGAGUUUAAAAUAUGAAGAUUAUCCUGAAUUACCUGAAUAGUCCCAAUCUAAUCAUGUGAGCCCUAAAAAGCAGAGCACUUUCUUAGACUGAAUACAGAAGAGAUGCAGCAAGGAAGCCAGAGAAGUUUGAAGUAUGUGAAGGACUCAUCUUCAAACCAUUGCUGGUGGUUUGAAGAUAGAGAGGGCAGCAUGACAAGGACUGCAGGUGGGCUUAUAGCUGUUAGAGGCUCCCAGAUAACAGCCAGUAAGUAAGUGGAGAACUCAGUCUUACAGCUGCAAAGAACUGAAUUCAUUCAAAAACCUGAAUGAACUUGAAAGGAGAUUAUCCCUAAGGGACUACAAAUAAAUACCCAGACUGUCUGAUAUUAUAGUUUUGGCCUCGUGAGACCCAAAGCAGAGGAACUAGUUGAGCCCAUCUAGACCUCUGAUUAACAGAACUGUGAGACAAUAAAUUUGUGUUGUUUUAAGCUGUUAAGUUUGUGGUACAUGGUUACAGGAUCAGUAGAAAACUAAUACCAUAUCGAAGGCAAUCUUAAGAACAAAACUGCAGGACUUAACGUUCUUUGUUUCUAAGAAUUGUUCUCUCCACCACAUAGCUCUAAAUGAAAGAAUGGCUUUUGAGGCCAUGUUCGUCUUAUAUGACUCUUCCUCUCUGGCUACAACUGGUUGGAUGGACUGGGAUGAACUUGAUUGUCUGGGGAAUUUGAACUAAGCCCCGCAGAGACAGGGUCUGUUACUCCAAUGUAUCUCACCCCCUAAAUAAGUGGAGUAAGUAUUCAUGUGCUUGUGUAGUCUUCUUCCUUUGAAUCUGGGUUUUAACUAAAAGAAUGAAGCAGAAGUGUCACUGUGUCAGUUUUACUAAUGUGACCAUGUGUUUAUGUUUACAGUUAGGAAGGACAUUAAAAUGUAAAAUGGGGC
Molecule: long non-coding RNA, 7027 nt
Filed under: Homo sapiens (human)
Lineage: Eukaryota; Metazoa; Chordata; Mammalia; Primates; Hominidae
Description: HSALNT0052620
Source: RNAcentral